This 237-nucleotide unclassified non-coding RNA is filed under the name Glomeromycota sp. RNAcentral's name for it is "partial contains 5.8S ribosomal RNA and internal transcribed spacer 2". The stretch from base 1 to 65 matches the Rfam family "5.8S ribosomal RNA", at positions 84 to 154 of the family's 154-position model. Lineage: Eukaryota; Fungi; Glomeromycota. The record is from RNAcentral.
GUGAAUCAUCAAAUUUUUGAACGCAAAUUGCACUCUCUUCGGAGAGUAUGCCUGUUUGAGGGUCAGCCUAAAAAAAACGGCGGUAUCGCUUGUUCUCCGGUGCAUUCUCCGGGAAUUUGGGUCACUUUAAACUUUUGGGUUUUUUAGCUGCUUUAAAUUUUCUUUACGGAUCCAACGACCGUCCUAAAGAUUUACUUAUUACUCACAGGUAAUGUAUCUAUCUUGAUGAGACGUUUC